UCAAACUUGGUCAUUUAGAGGAAGUAAAAGUCGUAACAAGGUUUCCGUAGGUGAACCUGCGGAAGGAUCAUUAACAAUUGUCCAUAAUAUUAUGGAUAAUUUUAUCCAUAUCCACCUUGUGUGAAUCAUUGAAGUGUAUGUUGGCAGGCUAAGCUCUCUUUUGCUGAGAGCUGUGGGUGACUGGCUCGGCCUGCCAAUUUUAUUAUGUUAAACCUGUCUAAAUUAACCUGUCUGAUAUUAUAUCUUAUAAUAUAAAUACAACUUUCAACAACGGAUCUCUUGGCUCUCGCAUCGAUGAAGAACGCAGC
RNAcentral lists this unclassified non-coding RNA (308 nucleotides) under uncultured fungus. RNAcentral's name for it is "partial contains small subunit ribosomal RNA, internal transcribed spacer 1, and 5.8S ribosomal RNA". The stretch from base 1 to 73 matches the Rfam family "Eukaryotic small subunit ribosomal RNA", at positions 1759 to 1831 of the family's 1831-position model. The record is from RNAcentral. Lineage: Eukaryota; Fungi.